UCUAAGAGUAGCUAUAGUACCCAACUUUAACUGUUCGUCUUAUUUAAAAAUUUUUGAUUAAUAUUUUUGUUAUUACUAGAUGAUAAAAUAUGAAUGUUAUUUUAUACGUGAUUUAUGUUUUUAUUUUUUAAUUUUUUUUAAAUAAGAUAGAUAAUUAAAGUUAGAAAAAAAAUAUAACUACAGUUAAA
Molecule: microRNA precursor, 188 nt
Filed under: Oryza punctata
Lineage: Eukaryota; Viridiplantae; Streptophyta; Magnoliopsida; Poales; Poaceae
Description: MIR812 microRNA precursor family
Rfam family: MIR812 microRNA precursor family
Source: Rfam by way of RNAcentral